GACGAACGCUGGCGGCGUGCCUAAUACAUGCAAGUUGAGCGAUGAAGCUUGGUGCUUGCACCCAUUUGAAGAGCAGCGAACGGGUGAGUAACGCGUGGGGAAUCUGCCUUUGAGCGGGGGACAACAUUUGGAAACGAAUGCUAAUACCGCAUAACAACUUUAAACAUAAGUUUUAAGUUUGAAAGAUGCAAUUGCAUCACUCAAAGAUGAUCCCGCGUUGUAUUAGCUAGUUGGUGAGGUAAAGGCUCACCAAGGCGAUGAUACAUAGCCGACCUGAGAGGGUGAUCGGCCACAUUGGGACUGAGACACGGCCCAAACUCCUACGGGAGGCAGCAGUAGGGAAUCUUCGGCAAUGGACGAAAGUCUGACCGAGCAACGCCGCGUGAGUGAAGAAGGUUGUCGGAUCGUAAAACUCUGUUGGUAGAGAAGAACGUUGGUGAGAGUGGAAAGCUCAUCAAGUGACGGUAACUACCCAGAAAGGGACGGCUAACUACGUG
This 497-nucleotide ribosomal RNA is filed under the name uncultured bacterium. RNAcentral describes it as "partial 16S ribosomal RNA". It matches the Rfam family "Bacterial small subunit ribosomal RNA", at positions 28 to 507 of the family's 1533-position model. The record is from RNAcentral.